This is a long non-coding RNA of Pleuronectes platessa (European plaice), 877 nucleotides long. RefSeq lists it as uncharacterized. The transcript is spliced from 2 exons. NCBI's taxonomy places the organism in Eukaryota, Metazoa, Chordata, Actinopteri, Pleuronectiformes, Pleuronectidae. The record is from RefSeq and is a predicted model, not a curated record.
GUAGUUUCCAGAGGAAUGAGAGGAGGGAGCAGGUUGAACAUUGUUCCCUGAGAGGAGGAAGAGGAAGAGGAGGAGGAGGAGGAGGAGACCUGGACUCACCGGACAGCUUUGAACUGAUCAGAGGACGUCUGGGAGUCCUCCACCUGAGGGACAGUUCCAGGCAGGAAACAUGUCCAUAGACACGGACCAGUGGCAGAAACUUGGACUAUGGGCAGAAAAGGUCUCUGGUUCGUCUCUGGUUCGACUCCACGGAGAAACAACAAAAGACGAACCUGGAUUGAUCUGUCCAAAAAUCCAAGAGGAUUCUCCCUACCCUGUCUAGUGCCCCUGAGCAAGGCACCUUACUCCCCCAACAUCUGCUCCCCAUGCGCCGUACAUGGCUGCUCACUGUUCUGUGUGUCCUGCACCAGAUGGGUCAAAAGCAGAGGUUCAAUUCCCCUUCCAUUGCAUGAGUGUGCCUUUGCAUGUCUGUGCAUGUGUUUGGGACAAAUAAAUGUAUCUUAAUCUUAAUAUUUGAAUAAACAGAGGAAGAUUUAAGUUUUAAUAUCCUGAAACCACAGGAGCUCACAGUCACACCUCACAUGCUCUGAGCCACAGGAAAGAAGAGACCGAGGGAGACUGAUUAUCACGAGAUCCUCCGAUCCCCGUUUUUAAUCCAAUCGUUUUUCUGAAUCAGCAAACGGCAGCAAACAAUCUGCAUCUGAGGCGAAAGAGCCUGAACACACGCUGCCGCUGUCACGUCGACAAAAAGUUGGUGCGAUGACGUCAGAUGUUUUCAAAGUGUGUUUAUUUUGGCAAGCACCAUUCGAAGUAGAGCAAAUCUGUCAUGUGCUUCUGUUAUGUGAUGAAGAAUAAAAUUAUAUACCCAUGCAAAAUU